AGGUGAUUUACCACGAUACUGGCCAGUGGCCUUUGAACGUGGGUUGUUUAUCUAUUUAAAGAUCUAUCACUAAUUUAAGGGCCUCACGUGUGCCUGUAGCAUCUGCCCUUCAAGCCUUACACUCUCUCUAUCCUACCCCAUGACUGGCCCUGUUGUGGGGCCCUUUGGAACCAGCAGUUAGAGAGCUCUGAGACCACACAGCCUGUCACAUCCAAAUGAGAGAUAGAAAGUCUGCUCUGGGACUGGGAGAGGGGAUAGGCACAAGGAACACUGUCCCCAGCCCAUCCAGGUCACGAUCUCACAACUUACAGAGCUUUUCAACUAUGGGAGAGUCAAGCUCUAAGAGUGACAGUGUCAUCUGAGUGUGACAGUGGGGGAGGGAAGAAUUCGACUUCAGCCAACAUUGGGCCAUGUUGGGUUUAGUAACGUGCUCCUUUCUUCUCUCAACUUCAAAUGAUCUAGAGGCAGAAAAGGGAUCAGUCACCUUUUCUCAGUUUCUCUUUAUAACUAUCAUCUGAAUUAAUUUAAUGAAUGAGUUUGCCUUAGACUUAAACUUGUUCUAAUCAACUUUUACCACAAAUUUUCAUGCUUGAGGGUUAUGUUCAGGCUGGUCGAGGCUAAUGACCUUCGCAGUGUGAUUGGGAGACUCGUGUUCCCAGUUUUCAGGAGCACUGUUGACUUCAAGUUGUCACCAGGUGGUGACACUAUCCUGGAAGACCUGGUUGGGACGCGAAGAGCUUUUUCUUCCCCUUUGAGUAUUUCAGUCUCUUUUCUGCCUGGGUGAUCAUCACACUGCACAUCCACGUGGCACAGUCAUUGUUAAAGCCUUCACUGUAUAGUGUUACAUUAGACCCUUAUAACAACUCUAUAAGGAGUGGCCAUUAUUUAGGCCCGAAAUCAAGAGGAUAAAACUGACUUCAGUGACCUCCGUAAGGUCACAGAGCUCAUUCCUUUCAGUUGCACCCAGAUCGCCUGCUCCAGGGGCCGUCUUCUUUCUGCUAUGACAGAAAAGAAUGAAAAGUGACCCUGGAAUCCAAUACUAAGCCUGACAGUGACUGAGUGCAGGAUUCUGGGAAACUCCAGGACAGAAAUCCUGCAACCCUACAGUGUGGAACUUCUGAUGAGUUUCAUCGUCAGGUGGCAUCCUCGGUGACAACGUGAGGAAGAUAUUGCUUGCACCACUAGCUGCUUUUCAUUGUUCGAUAUGGAAUCACACACCACGGGAAUUAUGGAAUCAGCCUCUGAGCCUCAGCCCACAGUACUCCCAAGGACUGACUUGGAUGGCGCCCUGAUCUCCUCAGGACUAACAAGUCGGGGUCUACUCCUAAGCUGCUGCCACCCGCUCUUCACUGGAGCCUCCUCUGGUUCGGCUGACAUGCUCUGCUCAGCGCCUCUUGCAACAGCCUCUCAGCUGCACUUUGCCUUCGCCUCCAAAGGGACACCAUGUACCUUUUCCACCACCCUUGGAGCACUUCAGCGGCUUUGUCAUCACACACAACAAGAUCCUAACAGCAUCUAUCACCCUCCAGGAGCACAGGGAUGACAUUACAUUGAUGACAUUCUCCUCCAAGGAAAUUCAUUUGAUACACUCAUUAUGGACACACAAGUUCAACAUCUUUUAUCCCUUUGGGAUUCAGGCGGCAACAUUCGUUUACAAAUUUUCUUCCAAGUUAAAAUCAACAGGCACUUCCCUUAGUCUCUCACAGACUCCUUCAUGUAGAGGACCUCUUCUCAUCCCCAUGGAUUCUCUGGACCAUUUAUGAAGGCCAUAGGCUGGCCAAGCGCUCUGAUGCAAGACACUGCCCCACACCAAGACACACGCUACACACCAUUAAGACAACAAAUGACUGGCUACCUACUGGCCUCUUCAAAAAGUAGAGCCUUUCACAGACCUUGGGCCUGUGACCCUCCACAUCCAGCUGUCCCUCAUAUUUUGAGUCAUGGAACCCAGCACCCCACAAUCUUGGCACAGAUUCUAAAGCCUCCCUAAGACAGGAGGGAACCAAAGCAGUGCCCUCUGGUUUAUUCCACCAGCAGGAUGAGAGGCUUCCCCUGUCCCCAGUGCCUGGCCAGAGGCCUUGCUGCUGGAGGAGUUCACCCCUCCCAAGACCCCUUGGCUACCUGAGAAGUCCCUUGAGAUUGACUGAGUGAACAGCAAUGGAUAUUCGUAGACUAGGCACAUGGUAUACAUGAUGGAGCUCAGUGGACUGUUGCUUUCCAUCCCCAGCCAGGAUGUCCCUGAGAAAGUCUGAACCAAAGAAACAACACACCUGGCCAGACUUCAAGCCGUCGUUUUAGUCCUGGAUGCCUUGGCUGAUAAGUGGCUCCAUCUUCACAUUUAUAAUGAGCUGUUGGUCCAUGGUCUAAAAAUUUCCCCAUGUGGAAUGAACAACUCUGGGAAUCUCUUGCCUCACAGAUACCCAAAAUGUCAAUCCAAAUCACCCAUAUCUCUACAUAUACUAAGGCCACAACACAAAGCCAUGCCAGGACACUGUGUAUGCCCUUCGGAGUUACAGACAUUACUCAUAGUGAGCGAGGCACACGUUUCACCUGUCAAAAUGCACAAAGCUGGGCGCUUGGAAGAGGCUUCAAUAGAACUGUCAAGUCCCUGAUAGUUCCCAGACCGCCCGCGUCAUUGAGACACACUGGUCUCCUCAUACAACUUGUUAGAAUGUUCCAGCCCAGCAAAUAAGCCUCUAAAUGAGUUUCUAUUUAGCCUCAGGACUUAUCUGUUUUUAUAAAUUUUCUAUCUUGCCUCAUCCCACAGGGUUUGGAGGACAGAUCGAGGGCACAUAUUCUUCUGAAAUCCACACAUUGUCCCAGAGCCGGGUAGCUGCUCAUGUGACAUGGGACUGAUUUGAAACUACAGUUCCACCAAAAACAAAAACAGGUUAAGUCCGGCUGCACAUCGUUCUGUCGACCGUUGGUCUGUUACCCCAGUCUAGGGACUUUCAUCGGUUUGCAAUCCAGAGGCCCAAACCCUCCAAAUAAGCCAUUGUUUCUGCCUAACAUGGCAAAUGCUUAGAGCCACAUCAAUUCGAGUGGGUACCCACUUGGAAAGGAUACCCCAGUUCCACAUCCCAGAUGACGUCAUCUGGCCCAGGAGGUCACUGCUGAAGAUGGCAUAGCCCCUACCCAAGACCUCACCUUGCCCCCACCCCCUGUGACAGAGACAACUUCAUCCUGAUCUAAAAUCUCUGCCCCAGUGUUGCCCAAGGACUGCAUCUCCUAAGGCACAAAUUGGGCACAGGACAUUUUUUGAUUUUCUUCCUUUGAUAUUAGGAGUUCUAUUGUGCUCUGAGCUCACUGUCUGCUUAGCUCAUGAUUCUGGUGUACUCCUUGUUCUCUGCCAAAACAUACUCGCCUACACUGCCAUGCCUAAAGGGGAAUCUGGUAGAGGUCACUGCUAUCUGUGUCACUGUAGAAAUUAAUGGAGAUUAUUACUUUCCCCAGGAGACACCAGCCUCAUAUCAGUCAAACCCCUCAACUCCCUGGGGAGAGGACCACUCACUCCUCUGCGCCUUCCCCUACUACCCUCUUCCAGCUUACCAACACAACCUCAGGGCUUGUGUCUUCAAUUGUAAACACCAUCACCAUUCCUUCUUCUUAGUUACACACAAUACCACUAAUCAUGACAUAUACUUUAUUAUCAGUUCAUACCCUACAACAACAUACCUGCUGGAGCUGCCACCUUCACCCAAGAAAUACACCAAGACAUUAUUGUCAAACUCAUACUUUCGAUAGUUUCCAGUUCCACCAACG
Molecule: non-coding RNA, 3762 nt
Organism: Equus caballus (horse)
Lineage: Eukaryota; Metazoa; Chordata; Mammalia; Perissodactyla; Equidae
Source: RefSeq, a predicted model, not a curated record